This 7465-nucleotide long non-coding RNA is filed under the name Daucus carota (carrot). Its description in RNAcentral is "long non-coding RNA (DCAR_LNC005669)". The record is from RNAcentral. Lineage: Eukaryota; Viridiplantae; Streptophyta; Magnoliopsida; Apiales; Apiaceae.
UUAACAGGCCAAGCUGUUGUGCCAUUGGACAAAAGAUUCAGCUAUGUUAACAGUGGGCCGCUAGGCGAGUUCAGCGUUGAAUUCGGUGACUACCGUCCUUCAAACAUUGCCACCUUUCCGUUCAUGCUUUGUUUUCAAAACGCCACUCCUGACGCCUUCACUUUAAGUCUCCGAAUGGGCAACCGUCACGACGAGUCGAAGAUGCUUUGGGUCUGGACCGCCAAUCGGGGAAAGCCGGUUCAUGAGAAUGCCACACUUGCAUUCGGUGCUGAUGGGAACCUUGUUUUGACGGACGCUGAUGGCUCAAUUGCGUGGCAAACAGGUUCGGCAAAUAAGGGUGUGGUAGGUUGGGAGUUACUUGACAUUGGUAAUCUUGUCUUGUAUGAUGCAAAGGGUGCCUAUAUUUGGCAAAGUUUCGAUCAUCCAAGUGAUACACUUUUGAUAGGCCAAGGACUCCAUCUUAAUGGAGCCACAAAGUUGGUUAGUAGAUUGUCCUAUACGGAGGAUGCUGAUGGUCCUUACACCCUCGUAAUGGAGCAAAGGCAUUUGGCCAUGUAUUACAAGAGCCAAAACGCAGCAAAUCCAUUACUAUACUACAAGUAUGACGAAUUUGGAGAUGGCAAGGGCGUUUUAGCAGAUGCAGUCUUUGAUGUCAACGGUGACGCUUUCUACACAAACGAACUCUUUCUUUUAUACGACAUGAAAAAUUCCCCCGCCUCUGGAACUAGAUUAUUGGCUAGGCCAAAGUACAAUUCUACUUAUUCGAUGCUUCGUCUUGAUAUAGACGGAAAUUUCAGAAUAUACACCUACUACCCGAUUGUUGAUUGGGGUGCAUGGGAAGUUACAUAUAAAGUUCUAAAUAGCGAAGAUGAUGUGGAGAGUACUAGCGAAUGCAGAUUGCCAAAAAGGUGUGGAGCUUUAGGGGUCUGCGAAGACAAUCAGUGUGUGGCUUGUCCAACAGCUGCGGGUCUGCUCGGGUGGAGCAAGAGUUGUGCGCCUCCAGUGUUACCACCGUGCAAAGGAUCAAGAGCAAAUGUGGACUACUACAAAGUGGUGGGUGUGGAACAUUUCUUGAAUGGAUAUACGGAAGGAGGGCGUAUGAAAAUCGGUGACUGCAGAGAAAAAUGCAACAAAGAUUGCAAAUGCUCAGGCUUUUUCUACAGGGAAGAGUCUUCAAAAUGCCUGUUGGUUCCGGAACUUGGUACUUUGAUCAAGGUGUCCAAUCCUUCUCAUGUUGGUUAUAUCAAGAUGUCUAAAUAGUUCUUGUACACAUUUUUAUACCAGUGUCCUUGCGUGUAAAUAAAUAAAUUGGAUGAGUGGAUUAAGGCGUGAAUUGUAAUAUGUGGUUAAUUUAGUAAUACAUUUCUAUAAUUUUUCAUUCUAAAAUGAUAUUGUACUGCUCAUCAGCAGGUUGAUUUAGUAAUAUAUUUUCAUAAUUUCUCAUCUUAAAUAUUAAUGCAUUUAACAUGGCUUGAGUUAAAAUUAAAGGACCCAAUAUAUUAUCUUAUAUACUGUAAACUUUUUUCUUUUUCCAGUUUGUAUCAUUUAUGUAAUAAAUUUAUAAGCUAAGACUUGUGCAACUACAAGAAAAGCAGCUUAUUUCGACCACCCGAAUCCGGUCGAAAAUAGCUAUUUUUGAUCAUAAACGGUCGAAACUAAUUAACUAUUUUCGAACGCAAAAAACCGGCCACAUAUAACCUAGUCGAAAUUAGGAUCCCGGUCGAAAAUAACUAUUUUCGACCGCGUUUCGACAUUCGACCAAAUACGGUCGAACAAAUCCUGACGACAAUUUGACUUUGAAAAUUUUGAAAAUUUGGAAUCCCGCUCAAAUUUUGAAAUUACGGUCGAAUUUAUAAUUUCGACCGCUGUUUAAAACUCCUGCCAAUUUCUUGCCGGAAUUUUGUGGUCGAAAUUAAUUGAUCAUUUAAUUUUUCCGGUCGAAUUUAUUUUGCAAUUAUAAAAAUAAUUCAAUUUGUGCAUACCUAGUUUGUGCAUACCUCUGCCUACCUGUACAAAUCCAAGAAUUGAAAUAUCCAACAAACAAUUAUUUUAAACCAAAUUCUACAUCUAAACCCCUUAGACAUAAAAUAAAGACUUAAGAGGCACACUGCCUUUGCAAUCUAAAUACAAGUUAUAUGUUACUUGUUAUUGACAAUAUAUAUAUAAGUGAUAUUUCCAUCACUGGCAUCAACCAAAACAUAAGUUAAAUAUUCGUCAAAUUCCAGGAAACUACCUCAUUCACAGCUGCCUAUACUAAGAUAAAAGGUAUUAUAAAUAAGCAUUAACAUCAAACUCCCCUUCGUCUUCGAACCCAGUAACCUCUAGCAUUGAAAUCUCCUUCCCCUUCUCUACUGGCUCUAGCUGACUAGGUUCCUACUCCUUCCCCACCGGCUCUAGCUGACUAGACUGUUAAAAGAACAUAAAUUAGUUAAAACAUAGAAUACAUGUUAAAACUGAUUAGUUAAAGAAAAUAAGCCAAUAGUAGUUAAAACACAAAAUAGAUAUAAGCCGAGCAGCUAACUAAUCUCGCAGCAAAAUACAAAAUACAUAUAAGUCAAGUAGCUAUCUAAUCUCACGGCAAAUAUAUAACCACUGCUCAAAUAGACAAAUACAAAAUGUAAUUAACUAAUCGAGCUCUAGUUCUAGUUAUAUUAUCAUCAUAAUGUUAAUUUAAUAAUAUUAAACUAGAUUCAUCUCACAGACACACACAUUGUUUCACACAAUCAAUGCAUAAGCAGAGUAGUUAAAUAGCUGCUUUUCUUCUGGUCUACACCUUUUGUAUUGACUAAACGAAGAGUUUAAGAACAUCUGAUAAUGCCCAUCAUUUCUUCAAAAGAGGAUCUAAAACAUAAACAAUAACAUGUAUUUUGAUUAAUAUACAUUAAUUUAACUUGUUUGUUUGAUUAAUUAAUCAAUUUAUUAGAAAAAGCUUAUUUAAACAAAUCUAAAUCAACCUAGCCUAUUCUCAACUGUACAUGGCCCAUUUGGUUUAACUUUUAGUGUUUAUUGCUUAUUAGUAAAAAGUUAUAUAUAGGUGAAAGGUAUACAACUAAUUAACUAGAUGCCACUGCUAAUCCACACUGACUGAGUAAAAUCAUCAUAUACUAAUCCUGGGACUGGCUCAAAUAGACAAAUAAAAAAUGUAAUUAACUAAUCCAACUCUAGUCCUAGUUAUAUUAUCUUCAUAAUGUGAAUUUAACAAUAUUAAACUAGAUUCAUCUCACAAACAAACACACACACACUGUUUCACACCUUCAAUGCGUAAGAAGAGUAGUUAAUCUCAUAUUUAUUAUGUAAGAUGAGGAACGAACAGCAGGUGAACAAGUUGGACAAUAGAGCAAGAAACUUAAUCUUAUAUUUAUUAUAUUUACUAAUGUACUCAAGUUCACUUGAUGAAAUGAUAUAUGUUGUACAUAUAUUAAAAGAUAUAGUUAAUUAAUAAAAAUGUCAAUGCACAAGCAUGAAGAAUUAUUUACAUAUUGAAAAGAAGUACUAGUGCAGAAAGAAAGACAAGGAUAUGGAAAGCUAGGUUUAUUGUCGCUAAGCUGGGGCACAUACCUCCAUAAUGAUUUGUAAUAUUUUAUUAUUAAUUUCGACCACAUGUUUUCGACCGGAUCUAUUUUCGACCGAAAACGGUCGAAAAUAGGUUUCGGUCGAGAAAAGCGGUCGAAAUAAGUCGCUUUUUCAAGAUGAUUUUGAAUUCAUCAAUAAUUAAUUGAAUAGAAAAUUAGUUAAUUCAUCAAUAAUUAAUUGAAUAGUAAAUUAGUUAAUUAGGAACGUAAUAAGAUGAUUUUCAAGAAUCAUUAUCACUUAUAUAACCUAACUCGUGAAGAUUGUAAGUUAACAGGCCUGAUAUUCACAAUAUACACACGCUUGUUUGCUUUGAAACUGGAAGGAAAAACUGAUAUGAUAUAAUUGCUAUUUCUCUUACUGAUAACACAUUACAUGCAAAGAAACUUUAAUAGUAACCUAUAAUAGAACUAACUCCUACAAAUUAACACUCACAUAGAACUGCUCCAUACCUCCUAACUGCACCAUGAGUCUCCUAAAAUACCUGAACGUGGCAACAUGCGUCUUUUUCAAAACAAAACAAUAACAAAAUAUAACUUUAAAAUAAACAAGUUUAGAUUAAUUUUUCAAUGAAGAUAAAACUUGACCUCCCAGAAAAUCUAAACUUAAUCAAAGACUUACUCUGGGUAGCACUGUAAAUACACCUUAUCACUCAUCCCAAAAUUACGUCUUAUUGAUUCUCAACAUAAGUUUGAGAUACAUAGAAAUCUCGCAUAAAGGCACGAUCUUAGCCUAAUUGACAAAAAUAGUUCUAAAUGAAUUAAUUGCUCCCUAAUUCUUCUGCUAUUAAAAUUAGCACUGUUUGUGAGAAUUCGAUCAAAAUCAUGAUUGAUACACGGAGUCCAAAUCAUUUUGAAGAUUUGAACUUACCCUCCAUUCAAAAGAAAAAUGAAGAGAAGCAAUACUUCGAAGAUCAUAGCCUUUGCCCCAAGCUUUUCAAAUUGGAUAUAUGACCGGACAUCAUACUUUUCCACUUACCACCUCGGUAAUACCCUAUACCUAUCAUUGUUUUUGAUAGCACAGUCAUUGUGCAUAAAUUCUUUAAAAGUGAAAUAUAAAAACAAAUAUCAUUUUUGUUUAAAUAUAUGUUAUUAUUUUUAAAUAUGUUUGAGUGUAAUUUCUGAUGCAUUUUAAUAUAGACACUAUAAUUUAAGAGUAUCGCCAAAAAAUUAAAAAUAUGAAUCAUAACAAAUAGGGAAAAUAGAUUUUUUUGCCACUCAACUUAUAGCGUUUUUAGAAACUUACCACCCAACUAAUUUAUUUUUUCUUUUAGUCACUAAUGUUAGGUUUGGUUUUAUUUUUACCCACCAACUUAGGUUCGGAUUUGAUUACUAGCAUUAUGAUAAUUUUUUGUAGCAUCAUUUAUACAUAGUGAUAGUAUGUAAUAUUUUGAUGAUGUGUCGUAUGUUUAUAUCUUUAUAUAUAACAAUAAUUAUAUAAAAUGAGCCGAUAAAAAUUAAAAUCGGGAAAAAUCGUAAUUAGAUUCUAAAUAUUCAAUAAAUCAUGAAUAUGAAAUUAAUUACUUCAAACAAUUCACCUCCUCUCAUAAGAUAAAGUGUAAUUGAGUGAUAUGACACAUCAUCUUUCGCUAUUAAAGUUUCAAUCGACUAGCUCAGUCUAAGAUCUCUUUUAAAUUUAUCUUCAAAAAUUUUAAUAACUUUCUUUUAUUACAAUUUUCAAGAUAAAUAAAUAGAGAGGAAAACUUAAUUUUAUAUUAUUAUUAUUCCCUCCAUCCCUCUCAUUACUUUACAGUUUUUUCUGCUGCUUAGCACGUAUUUAAGACUCUUAUAAAACAUAGUUCCAUAACUUAUUUUUGUGACGUUUGAAUUUUCAUUCGGAAGAAAAAAUAAAGUUAUAUUUGAAACAACAUCUUUUAAAGGCCAUAAAAUGCGUGUAAAAUUCUUAUCAUCCAAGGUAAACGACCUUGGAGACAUAAAAAGUACUAUAUAUAAAUAUACAAACAUAUAUCAAAUCAUCAAAAUAUUACAGACUACCACUAUAUUUUAAUAAUGCUACACAUAAUAUGUCAUGCUAAUAAUUAAAUCCGAACCUAACUUCAAUGAUAAAAAAAGCUGAAUCCUAGUGAGUAAAAUAAAAAAAAUUAUAGUUGAGUGGUAGGUUUCUAAAGACGCAAAGUUUAGUGACAAAAAACAUUAUCAUAAUACUAGUAAUCAGAUCCGAACCUAAGUUGGUGGCUAAAAAAAAACCAAACCUAACAUUAGUGACUAAAAGAAAAAAUAAAUUAGUUGGGUGAGAAGUUUCUAAAAACGCUAUAAGUUGAGUGGCGAAAAAAUCUAUUUUCCCUAACAAAUAUGAUAAUUAAAUAAAAAUAAAGAGUAUUACAUAAAAUUCAAAUAUUAUUAAUUGAAAAGUGCUAAAAUAUAAGAGUAUCCAAUUGAGAGCCUAUAGCGAUAUACUCCAUGAUUUUUGAAAAGCACCGAAACAUUGAAUAAUACGAGAACACUGUUCUCAUGGAUGUCCCCACCUAUAAUUAUUUUCUUUUCUAAAGAUUCAUCCCAUAAAGAUACAAGUAUUCCUCCACUUCCAUCAUAUAGCUUAAAUCUAGCUCGACAUUUCAUAGGUAAGGUUUCGAUUGGAUAAUCCUGUAAAUUUCCAACAAACCCCUUCACAAAACGUACACGAUGUUUAAUUUGUUUCCCCGCAGGUUCAAGUUUACCAAUUUCGGAUAUCCACUCACAAUUUUUACUUUCAUGAUCCUAAGGUCUUGCAUCACUCAUUGGUGUAUUAUAAAUUCUUGCCUUCAAUUCUGCUUCUUCACUAGAUAGUUGAGAACUUUUAUAUCAGUGACUUGAAAUCACUGAUGUCGUAUUUAUGAUUUUUGAUAAGGUUGUUGGAAAAUUCAUUGACGUUGUUGAUGCUGUUGGUACGUUGCUGGUUGAGGUAAAUUAAAUGUACCAUUAGUAUUCUCAUGUCACUAAAGGUGUGAGGGACAGUACUGUGAUUUUAGCUUUUAGACAAAACUGAGUACUUGCCGUCACUAUUCAGUGACUUGAAAUCAAAGUAGUUAUUUAAUAUAUUCUUAAUUCUUAAUUAACUGUCCGGUACUGGUGUACUUCAUUUAAUGCACAUUAUCAGUAACUUCAAGUCACGGAAUGUGUGCACAUACUGUGAUUUCAUGUGUAAUUAGACUAUCCAACUGUGUACGUGGUACCGGCCUCAUCUAUAAUAGUAUCAUUAUAUAAAUAAAGUAUUCGUUGGUUAAUGCAGGAAAGAUAAUUCACCAUUAUGUUGAAGUAAAACCAACGACCUAUGUAAGUGGUUAAUUGAAUUCGAUAAUCUUUAUUAAGCGUGUCUUUCAUUUUUAAUAAUUUUAAGUCUGUCCGAUGCCAACGGCGCUGCGGUCUUAAAAACUCAACCUUCACACACCGAAUGAAAAAAACCAUCUCAGAAGAACAUCACAUAUACAUAUAUUACCGGCAAAUAUAUGUGCUGUAUUAGGAAAGACGUACACUGAUUUUUUCGAAGUCAAAAUUUGUGUAUUCAAAAACCAGGAAACAUUGUACAAGAAUUACGGCAACCACACUGCCACGCUAUUAUAAAUCCUGAACUCUCUUUAUACACUUUAUUGCCAUCAUCAAAACAAAAUAAACAGCUUCUAGUUCACAAUGUAUUCUUCUUAUUCACCAUCUGUUUUUCUAAUUACCAUCUUCCUCGCUACAAUAUUAACAGGCCAAGCUGUUGUGCCAUUGGACAAAAGAUUCAGCUAUGUUAACAGUGGGCCGCUAGGCGAGUACAGUGUUGAAUACGGUGACUACCGUCCUUUAGAGAUUUCCACCUUCCCAUUCAUGCUUUGUUUUCAAAACGCCACUCCUGAUGCCUUUUCUUUAAGUCUCCGAAUGGGCAGCCGUCGCUCUGAGUCGAUCAUGCUUUGGGU